UAGGGAAUCUUCCACAAUGGACGCAAGUCUGAUGGAGCAACGCCGCGUGAGUGAAGAAGGUUUUCGGAUCGUAAAGCUUUGUUGUUGGUGAAGAAGGAUAGAGGCAGUCACUGGUCUUUAUUUGACGCUAAUCAACCAGAAAGUCACGGCUAACUACGUGCCAGCAGUCGCGGUAAAACGUUGGUGGCAAGCGUUGUCCGGAUUUAUUGGGCGUAAAGCGAGCGCAGGCGGAAUGUUAAGUCUGAUGUGAAAGCCCACGGCUCAACCGUGGAAAUGCAUCGGAAACUGUCAUUCUUGAGUGCAGAAGAGGGAGGUGAAAUUCCAGGUGAGGCGGUGGAAUGCGUAGAUAUAUGGAAGAACACCAGUGGCGAGGGAGGCUCUCUGGUCUGAAACUGACGCGGAGGCUCGAAAGCAUGGGUAGCGAACAGG
This 429-nucleotide ribosomal RNA is filed under the name Bacillota bacterium. RNAcentral's name for it is "Firmicutes bacterium partial 16S ribosomal RNA". It matches the Rfam family "Bacterial small subunit ribosomal RNA", at positions 355 to 776 of the family's 1533-position model. The record is from RNAcentral. Lineage: Bacteria; Bacillati; Bacillota.